This 2900-nucleotide ribosomal RNA is filed under the name Clostridioides difficile. RNAcentral's name for it is "23S ribosomal RNA". It matches the Rfam family "Bacterial large subunit ribosomal RNA". Lineage: Bacteria; Bacillati; Bacillota; Clostridia; Peptostreptococcales; Peptostreptococcaceae. The record is from RNAcentral.
UGGUCAAGUUAUUAAGGGUGCAGGGCGGAUGCCUUGGCACUAGGAGCCGAUGAAGGACGUGAUAAGCUGCGAUAAGCUUCGGGGAGUUGCACGUAAACUUUGAUCCGAAGAUUUCCGAAUGAGGAAACUCACUUAGAGUAAUGUCUAAGUAUCAUUAAGUGAAUACAUAGCUUAAUGAGGGGAACUCAGGGAACUGAAACAUCUAAGUACCUGAAGGAAGAGAAAGAAAUUCGAUUCCGUAAGUAGCGGCGAGCGAACGCGGAUUAGCCCAAACCAAUAAAGUUUUCUUUAUUGGGGUUGCGGACAUAUCAUAACGAAGAGGUAUCGUAAUUGAAGAGGUUUGGAAAGACCCACCACAGAAGGUAAUAGUCCUGUAUGUUAAACGAAAAGACUUUAGAUAUGAUCCAGAGUACCACGGGACACGUGAAACCCUGUGGGAAGCAGGAGGGACCACCCUCCAAGGCUAAAUACUACCUAGUGACCGAUAGCGUAUAGUACCGUGAGGGAAAGGUGAAAAGAACCCCGGGAGGGGAGUGAAAUAGAACCUGAAACCCUGCACUUACAAGCUGUGGAAGCACAUUUCUUGUGUGACCGCGUACUUUUUGUAGAACGGGCCAACGAGUUACGUUAAGUAGCAAGGUUAAGCACUUAAGGUGCGGAGCCGUAGCGAAAGCGAGUUUUAACUGAGCGUUCAGUUACUUGACGUAGACCCGAAACCGGGCGACCUACCCAUGAGCAGGAUGAAGCGAAAGUAAAAUUUCGUGGAGGUCCGAACCCACGAGCGUUGAAAAGCUCGGGGAUGACUUGUGGGUAGCGGUGAAAUUCCAAUCGAGCCCGGAGAUAGCUGGUUCUCCCCGAAAUAGCUUUAGGGCUAGCCUCAAGGUGAGAGAUACGGAGGUAGAGCACUGAAUGUCCUAGGGGGUAUUGCACCUACCGAAGACUAUCAAACUCCGAAUGCCGUCAUCUUAUACUUGGGAGUCAGACUGUGGGUGAUAAGAUUCAUAGUCGAAAGGGCAACAGCCCAGAUCGUCAGCUAAGGUCCCUAAAUGUAAGUUAAGUGGUAAAGGAUGUGGGAUUGCACAGACAACCAGGAUGUUGGCUUAGAAGCAGCCACUCAUUCAAAGAGUGCGUAAUAGCUCACUGGUCGAGUGAUCCUGCGCCGAAGAUUUCCGGGGCUAAAACUUACUACCGAAGCUACGGCAUCAGUAAUGAUGGGUAGGGGAGCUUCCCAUACGGGUUGAAGCAUGACCGUAAGGACAUGUGGACAGUAUGGGAGUGAGAAUGUUGGCAUGAGUAGCGAGAUGUGGGUGAGAAUCCCACAGGCCGUAAACCCAAGGUUUCCAGGGGAAGGUUCGUCCGCCCUGGGUUAGUCGGGACCUAAGCUGAGGCCGAAAGGCGUAGGUGAUGGACAACAGGUUGAUAUUCCUGUACUACCGAUAACCGUUUGAGAGAAGGGAUGACACAGUAGGAUAAGCUAAGCACACUGUUGGUUAUGUGUGCCCAAGCAUUGAGGCAGUCAAAGUAGGCAAAUCCGCUUUGAUAAUGCUGGGAUGUGAUGGGGAGCGAAAUUUAGUAGCGAAGUAGCUGAUUUCACACUGUCAAGAAAAGUCUCUAUCGAGGUUAAAGGUACCCGUACCGCAAACCGACACAGGUGGGUGAGGAGAGUAUCCUAAGGCCAGCGAGAGAACUGUUGUUAAGGAACUCGGCAAAAUGACCCCGUAACUUAGGGAUAAGGGGUGCCACCAUCAGGUGGCCGCAGAGAAUAGGCCCAAGCGACUGUUUACCAAAAACAUAGGUUUCUGCUAAGUCGCAAGACGAUGUAUAGGAGCUGACGCCUGCCCGGUGCUGGAAGGUUAAGGGGAUCUGUUAGAGCAAUCGAAGCAGUGAACUUAAGCCCCAGUAAACGGCGGCCGUAACUAUAACGGUCCUAAGGUAGCGAAAUUCCUUGUCGGGUAAGUUCCGACCCGCACGAAAGGCGUAACGAUUUGGGCACUGUCUCAACAACAGACUCGGUGAAAUUGUAAUUCCGGUGAAGAUGCCGGAUACCUGCGACAGGACGGAAAGACCCCAUGGAGCUUUACUGUAGCUUGACAUUGGGUCUUGGUACUACAUGUACAGGAUAGGUGGGAGGCUUUGAAACCAGGACGCCAGUUUUGGCGGAGCCAUCCUUGGGAUACCACCCUUGUAGUACUGGGACUCUAACCAUAGGCCAUGAAUCUGGUCUUGGGACACUGUCAGGUGGGCAGUUUGACUGGGGCGGUCGCCUCCCAAAAGGUAACGGAGGCGCUCAAAGGUUCUCUCAGUACGGUCGGAAAUCGUACGUAGAGUGUAAAGGCAAAAGAGAGCUUGAUUGCAAGACAUACAGGUCGAGCAAGGAUGAAAAUCGGACUUAGUGAUCCGGUGGUUCUGCGUGGAAGGGCCAUCGCUCAACGGAUAAAAGCUACCCUGGGGAUAACAGGCUUAUCUCCCCCAAGAGUCCACAUCGACGGGGAGGUUUGGCACCUCGAUGUCGGCUCAUCACAUCCUGGGGCUGUAGUAGGUCCCAAGGGUUGGGCUGUUCGCCCAUUAAAGUGGUACGCGAGCUGGGUUCAGAACGUCGUGAGACAGUUCGGUCCCUAUCCGUCGCAGGCGUAGGAAAUUUGAGAAGACCUGUCCUUAGUACGAGAGGACCGGGAUGGACGUACCUCUGGUGUACCAGUUGUCCUGCCAAGGGCAUGGCUGGGUAGCUAUGUACGGAAUGGAUAAGCGCUGAAAGCAUCUAAGCGCGAAGCCAACUUCAAGAUAAGAUUUCCCACCGCAAGGGUAAGACCCCAGAAAGACUAUCUGGUUGAUAGGUCGAAGGUGUAAGUGCAGCAAUGUAUUUAGCUUAUCGAUACUAAUAGGUCGAGGACUUGACCAAG